Molecule: ribosomal RNA, 254 nt
Filed under: uncultured bacterium
Lineage: Bacteria
Description: partial 16S ribosomal RNA
Rfam family: Bacterial small subunit ribosomal RNA
Source: RNAcentral
UACGGGGGGAGCAAGCGUUGUUCGGAUUUACUGGGCGUAAAGGGCGCGUAGGCGGCCACUGCAAGUCGGUUGUGAAAUCUCCGGGCUUAACCCGGAAAGGUCAAUCGAUACUGCAGGGCUAGAGUGCGGAAGGGGCAACUGGAAUUCUCGGUGUAGCGGUGAAAUGCGUAGAUAUCCGGAGGAACACCGGUGGCGAAGGCGGCUUCCUGGACCGACACUGACGCUGAGGCGCGAAAGCUAGGGGAGCAAACAGG